UGAUGCCUGGGAUUGCAGCAGCUGCC
Molecule: non-coding RNA, 26 nt
Filed under: Homo sapiens (human)
Lineage: Eukaryota; Metazoa; Chordata; Mammalia; Primates; Hominidae
Source: RNAcentral